GAUGAAGAACGUAGCGAAAUGCGAUAAGUAGUGUGAAUUGCAGAAUUCAGUGAAUCAUCGAAUCUUUGAACGCACAUUGCGCCCUUUGGUAUUCCAAAGGGCAUGCCUGUUCGAGCGUCAUUUGUACCCUCAAGCUUUGCUUGGUGUUGGGCGUCUUGUCUCUAGCUUUGCUGGAGACUCGCCUUAAAGUAAUUGGCAGCCGGCCUACUGGUUUUGGAGCGCAGCACAAGUCGCACUCUCUAUCAGCAAAGGUCUAGCAUCCAUUAAGCCUUUUUUUCAACUUUUGACCUCGGAUCAGGUAGGGAUACCCGCUGAACUUAAGCAUAUCAAUAAGCGGAGGA
Molecule: unclassified non-coding RNA, 341 nt
Filed under: soil metagenome
Description: partial contains 5.8S ribosomal RNA, internal transcribed spacer 2, and large subunit ribosomal RNA
Rfam family: 5.8S ribosomal RNA (bases 1-120)
Source: RNAcentral